UGCAGUCGACGAUGAUCCGGUGCUUGCACCGGGGAUUAGUGGCGAACGGGUGAGUAACACGUGAGUAACCUGCCCUUGACUCUGGGAUAAGCCUGGGAAACUGGGUCUAAUACCGGAUAUGACUCCUCAUCGCAUGGUGGGGGGUGGAAAGCUUUUGCGGUUUUGGAUGGACUCGCGGCCUAUCAGCUUGUUGGUGAGGUAAUGGCUCACCAAGGCGACGACGGGUAGCCGGCCUGAGAGGGUGACCGGCCACACUGGGACUGAGACACGGCCCAGACUCCUACGGGAGGCAGCAGUGGGGAAUAUUGCACAAUGGGCGAAAGCCUGAUGCAGCGACGCCGCGUGAGGGAUGACGGCCUUCGGGUUGUAAACCUCUUUCAGUAGGGAAGAAGCGAAAGUGACGGUACCUGCAGAAGAAGCGCCGGCUAACUACGUGCCAGCAGCCGCGGUAAUACGUAGGGCGCAAGCGUUAUCCGGAAUUAUUGGGCGUAAAGAGCUCGUAGGCGGUUUGUCGCGUCUGCCGUGAAAGUCC
Molecule: ribosomal RNA, 532 nt
Filed under: Arthrobacter globiformis
Lineage: Bacteria; Bacillati; Actinomycetota; Actinomycetes; Micrococcales; Micrococcaceae
Description: bacterial SSU rRNA
Rfam family: Bacterial small subunit ribosomal RNA
Source: RNAcentral